GUAAUAGCUCACUGGUCGAGUCGGCCUGCGCGGAAGAUGUAACGGGGCUAAACCAUGCACCGAAGCUGCGGCAGCGACACUGUGUGUUGUUGGGUAGGGGAGCGUUCUGUAAGCCUGCGAAGGUGUCCCGUGAGGGAUGCUGGAGGUAUCAGAAGUGCGAAUGCUGACAUAAGUAACGAUAAAGCGGGUGAAAAGCCCGCUCGCCGGAAGACCA
This 214-nucleotide ribosomal RNA is filed under the name Salmonella enterica. Its description in RNAcentral is "partial 23S ribosomal RNA". It matches the Rfam family "Bacterial large subunit ribosomal RNA", at positions 1134 to 1347 of the family's 2925-position model. The record is from RNAcentral. RNAcentral also lists the same sequence under 6 other names. Lineage: Bacteria; Pseudomonadati; Pseudomonadota; Gammaproteobacteria; Enterobacterales; Enterobacteriaceae.